This 164-nucleotide ribosomal RNA is filed under the name uncultured bacterium. RNAcentral's name for it is "partial 16S rRNA". It matches the Rfam family "Bacterial small subunit ribosomal RNA", at positions 355 to 511 of the family's 1533-position model. The record is from RNAcentral.
UGGGGAAUCUUCCACAAUGGGCGCAAGCCUGAUGGAGCAACACCGCGUGAGUGAAGAAGGGUUUCGGCUCGUAAAGCUCUGUUGUUAAAGAAGAACACGUAUGAGAGUAACUGUUCAUACGUUGACGGUAUUUAACCAGAAAGUCACGGCUAACUACGUGCCGG